UUUGUUUUGUCAGUUUGGCCGUGGUUAGGGCAUCCGAUGCUCAUUCCUGCGCACAACUUCCGUCGUAUUGCGGUCGCAUUCUCUGCCGGCGAAUUAAGGUUCUUUAGUUUACAGUCAUGUGGUCGGGACUCUACACCGAGAUUGGCACAAAGUUUACGCUUGGAUUGGAGAUUUGGCAAUGGCAUGCUCUUGGAGUUGACGAAGGAGAGGUUAAAGUUGUGCCAGGAACGCACCGUCGACCUUGUUUCAAAAAUCGGUGUAGCAAUCCCAUCCGCGGUCCAACCAAGUUCCUGAUUAAUUUUCUUAACCCUACCCUCCGAACCUGAUGCAUUCAUGCCUCUCUUUUUCCGACGACCUCGCGCUCGACUCACCUUCUUCGUCUUUGUCUCCGACGGCCAUCGUCACUCUCUUUGAUUAUCCGCCGCUUCACCCUAUUCUAAUUCCUCACCUUCGUCGUCCUUUUUUGCUUUGUCUUCGUCGGACGUUUUCACAAAGGAGGUGUGGAUUCUUAUGCUCGAACUCCAGUAACAACACACAUUUUUCGACGAACAGGCGUUGCAAAGGCUGCACAGAGUUCCUUUCCUUAAGAACAAGGAAAAUAUAUUGUCAGCAUUCUGCAAGGCAAAGAUUUCUUAGUGGUUACGCCAAUGGACUGAGGCAAGUGCUUGUGGAUGUAAAGCAAACUAUUGGACAGAGUGCGAGAUAGAUGUUCAUUUGGAUGCUCUUCUUGUCUUAUAUUAAACUGCAAUAGAAAGACAGUGUAGUCCACCAAGGCCCAUUAAAAGCCUAAGAUGUUAACCGAACUGCUCCAUGCAACUAAAUGGGCCACGACAGCUACGUUUAGCCAAAGAAGGGCCACUUGCUACAAAGGCCCGUCUAAUAGGCCCAAUCCUUGUCACCUAAAGGACCACACGAGCACAUGAUGUUUGUCAACUUUGGGCAGACAGCAGCUAACCGGAUGCAUCUUGAUAACUGCAUAUGGGUUUGUAUACCAAUGGGCAGGCAGCACGUGAUUAUGUCGAUGGGUGAUAAAUAUUGGGCAUGUCGGAUAGGUUUUGAUGUUGGUUUGGGCUUUUUCGGCUGGUCAGAUGUGCCUGUGAUAAAAAUUUAUUUAGCUAAUGGGCUAAUAUGAAAUAUAGUAUUGGGCCGGUGGGUCAUAACUUUUGCAAGUUUAAUUUUUCGAAGAUCCAUCCGGCCGAAUAGUUUUUCUAUUCAAACCAAAAGGCCCAAACGGGAUCUUUAAAGGCAAUCUUUGCUUGACAGCCGCACGUGUAGUGGUCAAGGCCCAACAGAACCCAAUGUCACCCAACAACCGAC
RNA transcript from Andrographis paniculata, 1317 nucleotides. RefSeq lists it as uncharacterized. NCBI's taxonomy places the organism in Eukaryota, Viridiplantae, Streptophyta, Magnoliopsida, Lamiales, Acanthaceae. The transcript is spliced from 6 exons. The record is from RefSeq and is a predicted model, not a curated record.